GCUGAAACCCCUAUCAUCUGAAAGCCAGCUAGGCUAAUGCCAUUUUAUCUGUGGAUUUAAAUUUUGCUGAGAUUUUCAUCAUGCCUACCUCACUUUAAAAGGAACAUGGGCAAACAUAUUGCUGAAAAUAGAAAGAAGUAUAGGCAAAAGAAGCGUGAAGAAAAACGACGUGAGAAGCAGAAGAUGAAAAAAAAAUAUUACAUAUCACAAUAUAAUUGUUGCAAUGCCUCAUCCUGUCCGUACAAGUCAUCAUCUUCAGGAUCUUCCCUGUCACCAUCAUUGACAUCUUCAAAUUCAUCAGACUCGUCGUCGAUAGUAACAAAAUCAAAGGCAACAGAAAACAGACCCCUGAUUACGUUUACGUCAGAUCCCUUGUAUGUAAGAUUUAUGGAGUACACCAUGUUAAAGAAAAGAGUAGCUGCUAUUGAGGACAGAGAAAGUCGCUAACGGGAUCACUACAUCAAAUACAAAUUACCGGAUCACCAGGACCAUCGCAGAUAAUUGUCACAUUGAACUUUCUUCAGUUAAUGAUGAUUUGAAUAUAUUAAUAAGAUUUUAUAUAUUUUGGUUAUCCUAAAAAUGGCAUCUGCUCAAAAAUGCCCUCGUAAAGUUUGUAACAAUUGUAAAUUGGAGCUUUCAGACAGACAUUACUGUCGCCAUGUCACAAAUUGUACCUUUAACAAUUUUCUAUCAAUUGACCAUGAGGAAAGUACAUUAAUUCAAAAUGAAAAAGUUCAACUACCAGUACAUUCCAGUGACAGUGAUACUAAUUUGAAUUUUCCAAGUGAAAAUAAUAGCAUUACCUAUGAAAAUUAUGUUUCUAAAAGAUCACAUCAUGAUCAGUUUAACAAAA
Molecule: long non-coding RNA, 853 nt
Organism: Magallana angulata
Lineage: Eukaryota; Metazoa; Mollusca; Bivalvia; Ostreida; Ostreidae
Exons: 3
Source: RefSeq, a predicted model, not a curated record